Molecule: ribosomal RNA, 696 nt
Filed under: uncultured bacterium
Lineage: Bacteria
Description: bacterial SSU rRNA
Rfam family: Bacterial small subunit ribosomal RNA
Source: RNAcentral
AGUCGAGGGGCAGCGCGGGAUAGCAAUAUCCUGGCGGCGACCGGCGGAAGGGUGCGUAACGCGUGAGCGACAUGCCCGUUGCCCGGGGACAACCGGUGAAAACGCCGACUAAUCCCCGAUGGGAUAUUGUGCCGCAUGGCACGAUAUUGAAAGUUACGGCGGCGACGGAUUGGCUCGCGUCCGAUUAGCUUGUUGGCGGGGUAACGGCCCACCAAGGCUACGAUCGGUAGGGGUUCUGAGAGGAAGGCCCCCCACAAUGGGACUGAGACACGGCCCAUACUCCUACGGGAGGCAGCAGUGGGGAAUAUUGGUCAAUGGGCGGAAGCCUGAACCAGCCAUGCCGCGUGCGGGAAGGAGGCCCUAUGGGCUGUGAACCGCUUUUGCCUGGGGGCAAUAAGGGCGUCGCGCACGCCCGAUGAGAGUACCAGGCGAAUAAGCAUCGGCUAACUCCGUGCCAGCAGCCGCGGUAAUACGGGGGAUGCGAGCGUUAUCCGGAUUCAUUGGGUUUAAAGGGUGCGUAGGCUGUGCGUCAAGUCGGGGGUGAAAUUCCGGUGCUCAACACCGGGGCUGCCCUUGAUACUGUCGCGCUGGAGUGCGGAUGCCGCCGGAGGAAUGAGUGGUGUAGCGGUGAAAUGCUUAGAUAUCACUCAGAACACCGAUUGCGAAGGCAUCUGGCGAAUCCGUAACUGACGCUGA